CGAAAUAACUCAAAUAAUAUAUAUCAGAGUGCACGAUACAAGGAGAGCAAACUCGACUUUUACAUUGCAGCGGAAGAGUCAAGAGCAGAUAACGUCAUGUAUGGAGACACGUCGCAUCCGAGUAAUAUUCUAUCGAAGGAUCUUCAUCGUCUAUGUUCAACACCGCCCGCCGUCAUCACUGCUCAACCUGCACAUUUUAAAAACAUAUACAGGGCUGAGUACUUGGUGUACUCAGUGGACACGUUCCGAAAUAUAUUUUACUGAAAAACUAGUUUUGUCAAGUCACUCUUUGAGUGAGCUCGGGGUUUUAGGAAAAGGUCCGAGAACACUGAAACAUUUUCCUUUUUUCCUUUUUCAAAAACGACCUGCCGAUCUAUUUUCCUAGAACACAUGUCGUAUCUGACUAACUCCUGGGGAACACAAGCCCACUAACCUCCUAGUGAACAGAAUUCACGAAACUCCUGGUGAAUCGGAAUGUAUGGGCUCAUCCCACUUACAAACCCGCAUUCACUAACUAAAACUGAAACUCCCUGUCUAGUAGGGACAUCGCCUUGCUAGUCAAUCAGAUAGGCACAAUUCAAAACAAAACAUGGCUCGACAUAACUUUCGCAACCUUAUUUUUCUCAUAAAACAUUUUUGAAACAUAAACUCAUUUUUUCUUUCCUCAAAAUCCGAACACAUAACCUUCAAUACUUCAUUUUCCUUGUAAACAUAUUUGGAACAAACUCAUUUCUAUCGGUCAAAGCCGAACUCAAAACUUCAACAAAAGCUACACUUCACAAGCACUCAUAAGACAACACAUAACAUCAAAUAAAUCACAUCACUUUCACUUUAGGUAAAUAGCACUUUUCAUAAUACCACACAUUAAAUAGCAAGCUCGCACUUAACAUCACAUCUUAAAUAGAAGCACACAAAAAAUACUUUUCAUAAAAACUGUAAACAUACUUUAAACAGAAAGCCUUAAAAAUAUCUUAGUUCGAAAGCCCACAUAAAAACACUUUAGUUCGAAAGCCCACAUGAAACACUUUAGUUCGAAAGUCCACCUCGUUCGCUUAAAACUCCUUAACUUGAAUUUUCUUGACUCCACCCAUAACUUGCAGAGAUAGCCUUUUGAAAACAAACAAUGUACUAAAAAAAAAAGAAAAAAAGAAAACAAACAAUGUACUAAUAAGACUCGAGAAAUUCUUAAACUUUAAUUAGAAUUAGAAUGCAUGCCCUAAUUAAUCAUGGCCCAAGAACUUAAUUAGAAUUCUAGCAUAAGACUAAAUUAAUUUCAGCCCAAGCUCCUUCGUAAAAUAAUUCCGUCUGACCCAACUGCUCUUCUCCCUCUUUGAUUUAUUUUGGCCCAAGGAUCAAUUUCAGCCCAACAAUUAAAUAAAUAUACUGGCCCAAGUCUCCUUUUAAUACUCUGCAGCCCAUCUGUUUUUUUUUUUUUAUUAUUGGCCCAACAACUUAAAUGGAAAAAGAAAAGAGGCAUGAAGCCCACAUUCUCCCUCCUGUCUCUCGGUUCUCAUCUCCCUCUUCCCUCAAAUCCCCAAUUCACUCUCACUUUUCCAAAUUAGGGAGUCGUAGGUUGAGAAGAAACCAUGGCAGCUCCUCCUUCCUCAUCUCGCCGCCACUUCGGCGAGAAUCAGUCACUGCCGCUCACGCCUUCCUCCGGCGUCUCUCCCUCAUCCCCUUUCUGAUCUCAAUUUUUGUUUUCGUCUCGGAACUGAGGGCAGCGGCGCGUCGUUCCAUCCCUCGCCCUCUCCAGCGAAUUCACGCCCUUCGUCUAGCGCCCUCCGUCCAGCGCUCUUCCUCUCGUCGACAUCUCAGACAGCAGCUCAUCGAUUCCUGAGCUCUUCCUCUCACGCCGAGCUCUCUGGGAUGCAGCGGCCCCCCGACGGUUUUGCAGCGCCGCCGUCCCCGCUUCGGGUACUCGGUGAGUGGAGUUCCCGCUGCCAGCUGCCAUUUCACCGCCUCCGUCUGCUGUCCGGGGUUCCGCCGUCGUCCGAUCCUUGCCGGACAGCCCCUCGUCGCCUCCGCGUCCCGGCUCGCCUUGUCGGCUUAUUCUUGGCCUAAAGCUAAGUCUCCCCCCUUUCCCUUCUACUUUUUUUUUCAAUUGAGUUAUGGCAGUAACAUGUUGAGAGUUCCAUUUGCAUCUUGUGAAGCAAGUUAUGACUUUUGGGAGGAUUGUUAGCUCACUGAAAUGAGUUCAUUAUAUUGGGGACUUCAACUGCUACUUGUUCUAAGAGUUGCUACUGUCAUGAGAUUUCUACAGCCAUGAUUCUAUGUUCUUGGACCUAGUAUGAUGUUCGAAACAAAAGCAGAGGGUGUGCUAGUGUUUUACCUCUUUCUCGAUGACUCCUUCGAACACCGGACUGCCCUUAAGCUCGCGGCCACUCCUUCCUCUCUUGCUGCACUUCUUUUGAUUUGUGAAUGUUGAGAGGUGUGAGGAAGGAGAUGGUGGUGGGGCUGGUAUUUAUAGCCAAAACUCCUUCGCAUUUUGUGUCUAAUUUUUGGGAGGUGGUGAUGCUAAUUUUGGGCUGUUCCUUAGCUCCCUUUCGAGCUUUGUGAUACUGCUACUCUUACUAAGUUGAUGAAUGUUUGGGGCUGCCCUCCUUGGCAGUUUUCUCCCAGCCUUGGUGAUGGAAAAAGGGAUCUGAUUCAUGCUCAUUUUGAGUAUGAACAUUGGGUUCAUUCUACUAUGCUCCUUUGUCCUAACCUCUACUUUGGUGUAAGAAGGGACUGUGACAAAAUGGUUGUCUUACUGCCUGAGCAGCCUCUUGGCUGUACAACUACAACUCAGCCUGUUUACUCUCCAUGUUCAAUCGAGCUGGCCCCCUCCCCUUCCUUUCUUAUAAGUCUAUUUUUCUAACCCCAUUUUUGUGUGAUUUGCAGGCCUAGGGGCUGCCCCUCUUGGCUGUUAUCUCAGCCUCGGUUGAUGGGGAAAGAGAGUACAUUGUUGCCUCUAAAAGGCCUUAGGGAUGAUCUCACUCCUUGGUCAUUCUUGUCCUUUUUCUUUUUUUUGAAGAUUGAUGAUGUACAUGGUUGUCCGUGCUUGGUGUCUUGUGGAAGCAUGAAUUGAGAAGGGAGGAGAGAAGAAAGGGAAAUAGGAGUUGGCUAGAAUGCCACUUGUCUCCUUGCCAAGAUAGUAUAGUCUCUAUUAUAUGUACUACUUGUGAUUCCAUCACUCUUGUAUUUCUAUUUUUUCAACAAUUUGUAAUUCAAAACUUAAAUUUCCUUGCACUUAAAUUUCCAACCGUCUCUUCAUCCUA
Salvia splendens (bonfire salvia) is the source of this 3257-nucleotide long non-coding RNA. RefSeq lists it as uncharacterized. The transcript has 2 exons. The record is from RefSeq and is a predicted model, not a curated record. Lineage: Eukaryota; Viridiplantae; Streptophyta; Magnoliopsida; Lamiales; Lamiaceae.